This is a non-coding RNA of Dermatophagoides farinae (American house dust mite), 776 nucleotides long. The record is from RefSeq and is a predicted model, not a curated record. NCBI's taxonomy places the organism in Eukaryota, Metazoa, Arthropoda, Arachnida, Sarcoptiformes, Pyroglyphidae.
CACAUAAAUUAAGUUUCGACCUUUAGUCAGAGGCCAAUGUGUGUGUGUGUGUAUCAAUAAUCAAAACAUAAAGACAAGAUACAAGACAAGAUACAUUGAUGGAUGGAUGUAUUGCAUUGGUGUAAAAAACCGUUUGUGUUUCCGAAUGAUUUUUUUUUUUUGGUCGUUGAUAUUGAUCAAAAAUGAAUUUUUUUUUUGGAUUUCAUUGCAAAAACGAAACAAAAAUUUAUCACAAACACACUCAGUUAUCUAAUGCUAACAACAACGGAAAACAACCAAUCAACCAACCAACCAAUAUCAAGAUAUCAUCAUCAUCAUCAUCAUCAUCAUCAUCGUCGUCAUUUAAGUUGAUCGAUUCGAUCAUCACCAGGAGAUUUUUUUUUGUUGCAUUUUUUUCAAUUUAACAUUUUUUUUUCUUCUUCAAAGUCGUGGGAAAGUUUGGUGGAUAUGAAAAAAAAUACAAACCAAAGAUAAGUGGACAAAACAUGUAAGCAAGUUACAAGUCUUGAAUGUUUUUCCAAAAAAAAAAAAUGACGACGAUGAUGAUGACUGCCUAUUGAUUUUGGGUUUGUGAACCAAAAAAAAAAAAUCAUGACCAGAAAAAAAUGUGAAUUUCAUCUCAUUAUCACAAAACUAUAACAUGAUGAUGAUGAUGAUUGGGUGCCAUCCAUCCAAUGAUAACGACGACUAUGACGUUUAUUUUGUGUUUUUUUUUCUAUGAGAAAUUGUUGAUUAUUAAACUCAGCAUAAAUUCCUAGACAACCGCCACCACCACC